GUGCAGAGCACCUAGCCAAUAACUACUUGUCUCCACUUUACAACCAACAGAAAAGCACCUGUGCAAGUCCUCCUUAGCCAUGAGAGGAUGCUUGAACUUUGGAUGAUUCAGAGUCCCUGCCACCCUCAUCCUCAUCACUUUCAAUGCAGCCUUCAGGGCAGAUUGAAGAUGUGACAGAGAAACCUGAACUGGUGGCCAGUUCAGGGAAGGAAUUUGUCUUCUGAACUCCUGCUCUCAUUCUUAAAGGACACUCCCUUGAGCUUCUGCAUCUCCUUGAUAAAAACUCUGAAUAUAGUGUGGAAUAAAUGGAAAAAAUGUCUUACUAUCCCUGUUGCUCUAAGGAAAAAUUAAAUUCUGCAUUUCUGAAUUUGUCUUUUUAAUGCAUAUUUUUGGUUUCCUCUUACAACCUCUUCUCAAAAUGGUAUCAAAUAACUGCAAGAUGUU
RNAcentral lists this long non-coding RNA (444 nucleotides) under Cyanistes caeruleus (blue tit). RNAcentral's name for it is "lncRNA (ENSCCEG00000007649.1)". The record is from RNAcentral. Lineage: Eukaryota; Metazoa; Chordata; Aves; Passeriformes; Paridae.